Molecule: long non-coding RNA, 597 nt
Filed under: Numida meleagris (helmeted guineafowl)
Lineage: Eukaryota; Metazoa; Chordata; Aves; Galliformes; Numididae
Description: lncRNA (ENSNMEG00000008487.1)
Source: RNAcentral
UACCUCAGAAAACAAGUAGCCAGGAAAAAGAAGGAAACAAAAGGAAGAAAGGAGAAGGAAGGUAGGAAAAGAAACAAAAACCACUGAAGUGAGUAAAAGGGAAGUAAGCACUUAGAAUCACAGCUGUGGAGCUGUAAGGUGACUUCAGUGGAUGCUGUCCUCUUCCUGUCUCACUUCUGUCUCAGUUUCUCAUUUCUCACAAAGGAACACCUCGAGUUGAUUGUGCUGUCAUUGAGCAGCGAUUCAUUGUUGGUCAUAUUCAGAUAACCUCGCCUGGACUCUGGUCCCCUUCAUGAAGCCCUGAAUUGCAGAAGCUCAGCAAUUGUACAGAUGAGCCAUUCCAUUAAUGCAAGCGGGAACUUCUCAAGAGCAGAAAAGACAGUUGAAAGCAAGAACUGCUACAGUUAUCUCAGGGAUCAUUGACCAUUAUCUGAAAUGCAGCAGAAACGCACAACAUUCACAGAUGCGAGUAGGGACAUGAGUGAGGUGUUCGUGGCAUCAGCCCUGGAGAAAGAAGAUUCUCGCUACAGAAGAAAGAGAAGUUAACUUAAAAUUACAGCACAAAAAAAUAAAAAAUGCAAUAGAAUGCUAUAUGCA